UACGUAGGUCCCGAGCGUUGUCCGGAUUUAUUGGGCGUAAAGCGAGCGCAGGUGGUUUAUUAAGUCUGGUGUAAAAGGCAGUGGCUCAACCAUUGUAUGCAUUGGAAACUGAUAGACUUGAGUGCAGGAGAGGAGAGUGGAAUUCCAUGUGUAGCGGUGAAAUGCGUAGAUAUAUGGAGGAACACCGGUGGCGAAAGCGGCUCUCUGGCCUGUGACUGACACUGAGGCUCGAAAGCGUGGGGAGCAAACAGG
Molecule: ribosomal RNA, 252 nt
Filed under: uncultured bacterium
Lineage: Bacteria
Description: partial 16S ribosomal RNA
Rfam family: Bacterial small subunit ribosomal RNA
Source: RNAcentral